Camelina sativa (false flax) is the source of this 371-nucleotide non-coding RNA. The record is from RefSeq and is a predicted model, not a curated record. NCBI's taxonomy places the organism in Eukaryota, Viridiplantae, Streptophyta, Magnoliopsida, Brassicales, Brassicaceae.
CUAUGUACACUAGUUUUACAUAAGAAACUAAAGCGCUGGUGUUUGGAUGUAGCAGAAUGUAAUGUUAGAAGAAUACACAAGAUACAAAGCUGGUGAUCUCAAAGAAUGCGUGAGAAUGAUACAUGACUUGUAUCUGAGUAGAAAAGUUCAAGUGUGUGGCGACAAUGCCUGUAUCGCCAGAGCUGCCUCUUACGGUUUUUGAAGAUGUCAACAUUUAGUGAGAACUUUUGGUCAUCGGCGAAGAUUUGUUGGUCUCUUUUCUUUGUGGUUUUGGGGUUUGUACAUAUCCUAGGACUACUUUCUAGUUGUGAUUAAGUAUCUAAACUAAUGUUUAAAGAUUUUGGUUACAUGGGUUCUAUUUUUUACCAUGA